This is a non-coding RNA of Carcharodon carcharias (great white shark), 74 nucleotides long. NCBI's taxonomy places the organism in Eukaryota, Metazoa, Chordata, Chondrichthyes, Lamniformes, Lamnidae. The record is from the annotation of a RefSeq genome assembly.
GGUUCCAUAGUGUAGUGGCUAUCACGUCUGCUUUACGCGCAGAAAGUCCUGGGUUCGAUCCCCAGUGGGAACCA